This 637-nucleotide ribosomal RNA is filed under the name uncultured bacterium. RNAcentral describes it as "bacterial SSU rRNA". It matches the Rfam family "Bacterial small subunit ribosomal RNA", at positions 43 to 689 of the family's 1533-position model. The record is from RNAcentral.
CGCCCCUACAUCAGUGUGCGACGGACCUUCUGGGGUUCCCAGAGGGUUACGGAGCGGCGGACGGCCGAGUAACGCGUAAGCAACCUGCCCCUCGGAGGGGGAUAACCCUCUGAAAAGGGGGCUAAUACCCCAUACGCUUAGGGAGGCGCAUGUCUCCUUAAGGAAAGGAAGGAAACUUCCGCCGAGGGAGGGGCUUGCGUCCUAUCAGCUAGUUGGUGAGGUAACGGCUCACCAAGGCGAUGACGGGUAGCUGGCCUGAGAGGGUGGUCAGCCGGACUGGGACUGAGACACGGCCCAGACUCCUACGGGAGGCAGCAGGGCGGAAUCUUGCGCAAUGCCCGAAAGGGUGACGCAGCGACGCCGCGUGAGGGAUGAAGCCCUUCGGGGUGUAAACCUCUUUUGCAGGGGAAGAAGUUCUGACGGUACCCUGCGAAUAAGUCCCGGCCAAUUACGUGCCAGCAGCCGCGGUAAAACGUGAGGGGCGAACGUUGUCCGGAAUCACUGGGCGUAAAGGGUACGCAGGCGGUGGAGAAAGUCGGGUGUGAAAGCCUCAGGCUUAACCUGAGGGGGACGCUCGAUACUUCUCCACUUGAGGAAGGGAGAGGGAGGUGGAAUUCCCGGUGUAGCGGUGAAAUGC